This 1266-nucleotide ribosomal RNA is filed under the name Triticum aestivum (bread wheat). RNAcentral describes it as "partial small subunit ribosomal RNA". The record is from RNAcentral. Lineage: Eukaryota; Viridiplantae; Streptophyta; Magnoliopsida; Poales; Poaceae.
AUGGAUUCCAUCUUGGCAAAUGAAACUUGGGAGAUAACUGAUCGUCCUUAUGGGUGCAAACCUAUAGGAUGCAAAUGGGUAUUCAAGAAGAAGCUUAGGCCUGAUGGUACUAUUGAAAAGUACAAGGCUCGGCUCGUGGCUAAGGGUUAUACCCAGAAGGAAGGUGAAGACUUCUUUGAUACUUACUCACCUGUGGCUCGACUGACCACUAUUCGAGUUCUACUUUCACUAGCUGCCUCGCAUGGUCUUCUCGUUCAUCAAAUGGAUGUUAAGACUGCUUUCCUAAAUGGAGAGUUGGACGAGGAAAUUUAUAUGGAACAACCAGAUGGGUUUGUACUAGAUGGUCAAGAAGAGAAAGUGUGCAAGUUGCUGAAGUCUUUGUACAGACUUAAGCAAGCACCCAAACAGUGGCAUGAGAAGUUUGAAAGAACUUUAACAGCUGCAGGCUUUGUUGUGAACGAAGCCGACAAAUGUGUGUACUAUCGCCAUGGUGGGGGCGAGGAAGUUAUCCUGUGCUUGUAUGUGGAUGACAUACUGAUUUUCGGAACAAAUCUGAAAGUUAUUAAGCAGGUCAAGGAUUUCCUAUCUCGUUGUUUUGAGAUGAAGGAUUUAGGAGUGGCUGAUGUCAUUCUGAACAUCAAGUUGUUGAGAGACGGUGAUGGUGGGAUUACUUUGAUUCAAUCUCACUAUGUGGAAAAGAUCUUGAGUCGCUUUGGCUAUAGUGACUGCAAGCCCUCUCCAACACCAUAUGAUGCUAGUGUGUUGCUUCGAAAGAAUCGAAGAAUUGCUAGAGACCAAUUGAAGUAUUCUCAGAUUAUUGGCUCGCUUAUGUACUUAGCCAGUGCUACAAGACCUGACAUCUCUUUUGCUGUUAGCAAACUAAGUCGGUUUGUUUCAAAACCAGGAGAUGUGCAUUGGAAAGCUCUAGAAAGAGUGUUGCGUUAUUUGAAAGGCACUGCAAAUUAUGGAAUUCACUACACCGGGCAUCCAAAGGUGCUUGAAGGGUAUAGUGACUCAAACUGGAUCUCAGAUGCUGAUGAGAUAAAGGCCACGAGCGGUUAUGUAUUCACUCAUGGAGGUGGCGCUGUUUCUUGGAAACACGUUCAGAGAAGGUUAAAAUCUGUCAGGAAAAUGAAAAACUCCGGAGUUAUCAUGUUAGAUUAUAUCCAAAUGUGUGAAAAUCUGGCAGAUCCUUUUACCAAGGGUCUAUCACGUAAUGUGAUAGAUAAUGCAUCGAGGGAGAUGGGUAUGAGACCCACAAUAUGA